CGCUUAUACACAGCAAAAUCACCAGUGUUAAAUUUUCAGGGAUGGUGUUAAAUACACAGUGUUGAUGUUGUUUUAACACUAUCUGGUAAUAAAAUAACACUGCCAUUGCUAGGCCAGUGUUACAUUCACAACAGUGUCAGUGUUAAACAAGGGUGUUAUCAGAUUUCACUCUGAGCGGUGUAAAUCAAGCCACGCCUCCACUAAACAUAUCCUGUCAGGGAUUUUACCGCCAUUUUCUUUCACAGGAGGACUGAAGAGAUCAGAUGCUAGUUUGGUGAAAGUUCACACUGAGUGCUUCAAAUCAUUCAGACGAGAUGCUGUUUUUAGGGCAGUUUAUUAAAGAAGACCUGACAUGGAUGACUUCCAAUGAGAAACGACUGCUAAUACUUAUAUAAAUUCAUUACAGAAGGACCCUACCAGACUAUAUUUGAAUACGGCAUACCCAUGAAUUCUUGAACUGUUAUUCCUUAACCCAGUUUGGAGGAUAAGAGCUUACCAA
This is a long non-coding RNA of Paramisgurnus dabryanus, 499 nucleotides long. RefSeq lists it as uncharacterized. Lineage: Eukaryota; Metazoa; Chordata; Actinopteri; Cypriniformes; Cobitidae. The record is from RefSeq and is a predicted model, not a curated record.